AUACGUAGGGUGCGAGCGUUGUCCGGAAUUACUGGGCGUAAAGAGCUCGUAGGUGGUUUGUCGCGUCGUCUGUGAAAUUCCGGGGCUUAACUCCGGGCGUGCAGGCGAUACGGGCAUAACUUGAGUACUGUAGGGGAGACUGGAAUUCCUGGUGUAGCGGUGAAAUGCGCAGAUAUCAGGAGGAACACCGGUGGCGAAGGCGGGUCUUUGGGCAGUAACUGACGCUGAGGAGCGAAAGCAUGGGUAGCGAACAGGAUUAGAUACCGUGGUAGUCCAUGCCGUAAACGGUGGGCGCUAGGUGUAGGGGUCUUCCACGACUUCUGUGCCGUAGCUAACGCAUUAAGCGCCCCGCCUGGGGAGUACGGCCGCAAGGCUAAAACUCAAAGGAAUUGACGGAG
RNAcentral lists this ribosomal RNA (398 nucleotides) under uncultured bacterium. RNAcentral describes it as "partial 16S ribosomal RNA". It matches the Rfam family "Bacterial small subunit ribosomal RNA", at positions 523 to 918 of the family's 1533-position model. The record is from RNAcentral.